AAACGCUUGAAGUCAGUCGUAUCUGCCAGGACUCAGCCUUGCUUCUGCUUGGUGCACUUUCUGGUCGGAUGGGCCAACAUCGAUUUUGACCGUUGGAAAAAGGCUUGGGGAAUGUGGCAUCUUCGGAUGUGUUAUAGCCUUUACUUGCAUACAGUGGUUGGGAUUGAGGAACUCAGCACGCCGCAAGGCCGGGUUUCGACCACGUUCGUGCUUAGGAUGCUGGCAUAAUGGCUUUAAUCGA
RNAcentral lists this ribosomal RNA (241 nucleotides) under Agaricaceae sp. RNAcentral describes it as "partial large subunit ribosomal RNA". The record is from RNAcentral. Lineage: Eukaryota; Fungi; Basidiomycota; Agaricomycetes; Agaricales; Agaricaceae.